GAAAUGCGAUACUUGGUGUGAAUUGCAGAAUUCAGUGAAUCAUCGAAUCUUUGAACGCACAUUGCGCCCGCCAGUAUUCUGGCGGGCAUGCCUGUUCGAGCGUCAUUUCAACCAUCAAGCCCUAGGCUUGUGUUGGGGACCUGCGGCUGCCGCAGGCCCUGAAAAUCAGUGGCGGUGCCAUCUGGCUCUAAGCGUAGUAAUUUCUCUCGCUUUGGAGGCCGGGUGUGUGCUUGCCAGCAACCCCCAAUUUUUUUCAGGUUGACCUCGGAUCAGGUAGGGAUACCCGCUGAACUUAA
Molecule: unclassified non-coding RNA, 296 nt
Filed under: uncultured Ascomycota
Lineage: Eukaryota; Fungi; Ascomycota
Description: sequence contains ITS1
Rfam family: 5.8S ribosomal RNA (bases 1-105)
Source: RNAcentral